GGGUUGUGAGGUUAAGCGACUAAGCGUACACGGUGGAUGCCCUGGCAGUCAGAGGCGAUGAAGGGCGUGCUAAUCUGCGAUAAGCGCCGGUAAGGUGAUAUGAACCGUUAUAACCGGCGAUACCCGAAUGGGGAAACCCAGUGUGACUCGUCACACUAUCAUUAACUGAAUCCAUAGGUUAAUGAGGCGAACCGGGGGAACUGAAACAUCUAAGUACCCCGAGGAAAAGAAAUCAACCGAGAUUCCCCCAGUAGCGGCG
This 259-nucleotide ribosomal RNA is filed under the name Salmonella enterica subsp. enterica serovar Montevideo. Its description in RNAcentral is "partial 23S ribosomal RNA". It matches the Rfam family "Bacterial large subunit ribosomal RNA", at positions 1 to 251 of the family's 2925-position model. The record is from RNAcentral. Lineage: Bacteria; Pseudomonadati; Pseudomonadota; Gammaproteobacteria; Enterobacterales; Enterobacteriaceae.